GACGAACGCUGGCGGCGUGCUUAACACAUGCAAGUCGAACGGAAAGGCCCUGCUUUUGUGGGGUGCUCGAGUGGCGAACGGGUGAGUAACACGUGAGUAACCUGCCCUUGACUUUGGGAUAACUUCAGGAAACUGGGGCUAAUACCGGAUAGGAGCUCCUGCUGCAUGGUGGGGGUUGGAAAGUUUCGGCGGUUGGGGAUGGACUCGCGGCUUAUCAGCUUGUUGGUGGGGUAGUGGCUUACCAAGGCUUUGACGGGUAGCCGGCCUGAGAGGGUGACCGGCCACAGUGGGACUGAGAUACGGCCCAGACUCAUACGGGAGGCAGGAGUGGGGAAUAUUGCACAAUGGGCGGAAGCCUGAUGCAGCAACGCCGCGUGCGGGAAGACGGCCUUCGGGUUGUAAACCGCUUUCGCGUGUGACGAAGCGUGAGUGACGGUAAUGGGUAAAGAAGCACCGGCUAACUACGU
RNAcentral lists this ribosomal RNA (467 nucleotides) under uncultured bacterium. RNAcentral describes it as "partial 16S ribosomal RNA". It matches the Rfam family "Bacterial small subunit ribosomal RNA", at positions 28 to 506 of the family's 1533-position model. The record is from RNAcentral.